This is a long non-coding RNA of Bos taurus (domestic cattle), 2621 nucleotides long. NCBI's taxonomy places the organism in Eukaryota, Metazoa, Chordata, Mammalia, Artiodactyla, Bovidae. The record is from Ensembl.
GCCUUUCAUUGUCCUGAAGACUGGCGGAGGCCACAGGAGAGUUUUUCAGAAACUUUUGGAGGUCUAAAAACUUGUGUUUUUGCUCAUCCGCACAAGCACCAUGAACCACUUUCUGCCUCGUGACCUGCAGGUUUCCACCCAACUCUGAGGACAAGUCUAUCCUCCGUUGUAAAGUCAAGAGAUUGAACGUCUGGCUCAUCCUCCAGGCUGCAAGGCGCCUAAACAAUAAGACGUUUGCUCCGGUUGUUUUCCAGAAAGCUGGAGUCAGCUGUGUCUAGUUCAGCUGCGCAAGAGUCAGCGGUGUCCAGUUUGAGCUGAGCUGGUUGAGACUGGCUGGGACCACUGACCUUUCAACUGAGUGUGCGAACAUGCAAAGGCCUGUUGCUGAGCUAUGCCUGCACAAAGCGACGACCGGGACACCCUUUUCUAUCACCUUUCCCCACGGUCCCGUGUCUCAGACGACCUGCUUCUUCAGUCUUCAUCCCAUAAACACAUAAGCCCCUUGCCUGAGGGGAACCGGAUUUGGGGUUUGUUUUCCCAUCUCCUUGCUUGGUGGCCCUGCUGAUGGAUCCUCUCUUUGCUGCAGACCUUGGUGUCUCAGUGUUUUGGGUUGCGGUGCACCCAGGUGGGUGAGAAGCUGAGAGCUGAGCAUCACACCUGGAGAUGGAGCCUGGCGGGAAGACGAGCUCAUGUUGGCAAAGCUGCAUGCUGGCAGAUAACAGCCUCUUUUCCAGCCCUGGGGCAGUUUCCAGCUUCUCCAGUCACGUUCAACCCACAGCUGUAGCCGGAGAAGCCAGAGGGGAGAGAGCUACUCCAACCAUGGGAGGAAGCCUGCUGCUUCCGGAUCCCAUCAUAGAGCCCCGCUGGGGAGGGGCCAGAGUGGGAGCCCCCCACGGUCCUCCAUCCUCGAGCGCAGAGGAGAUGGGAGAGAGGCAGCGGUCUCUGCCUGGGGCUGGUCCACCCUAGCUCAGCUGAAACACAGGCUUCUCCAGCCCCGAGUCCAUGGGGUUGGACAGAAGGCAGUUUGGGGCCCCUCCCACCCAGACUGUGGGGCAGGCCCAGGACGCAUGCCUGUCGUAGAUGCUGGCCCUUCAGGAGUGGCUGCCCUGGGUAGGUUGGGGCUGGGAUGAAAGCCUGAGGCCUGGUCUCUGGGUCACUGUGUUGGGUAACUGCUGGCCAUGUUUGUAGAGCAUGCACACUCUUGUGUUCUGAUCUCUGCAGACCGUCCUUGAAGGAUGUGUGCUCCUGGGUCUGGGUAAUGUUUUUCCUUUCUCUUAAAAGAUAGACUUCUAAGAGCAGCUUUAGGUUCACAGCUAAACUAGGUGGAAAGUGUGACAUUUCAAUAUUCCUCCUCCCUCACACCCGUGGCUUCCCCGUCAUCAUCUCCACCGGUUGGUACUUGUGUUACAACUGAUGACCCCACAUGGACAUGUCAUUAUGACCCAGAGUCCACAGUUGACAUCAGGGGUCACUGUAGGUGGUGUGUGUCCUGUGGGUUUGGCCAAACAAAUAAUGACACGUAUAUUAUACAUCAAUACAGUAUCAUACAGAGAAGUUUCACUGCCCUAAAAACUCUCUGUUCUCCACCUGUUCAUCCCUCCCUCGCCACAAUCCCUCAAAAUCAGACCUUUUUAUCCUUGGCAUAUCUUGCCUUUUCCGUGACAUCAAACUAGUUGCAAUCAUAUAGCGUGUAGCCUUUGUUUCCUCCAUGUCUUCAUGACUUGACAGCUCGCUUAUUUUAGCAUGUAAUAAUAUUCCCAUCUGGAUGCCCUGUAGUUCAUUUAUCCAUCACCUACUGAAGGACACUUUGGUUGUUUUCAAGCUUUGGCAAUUAUGAAUAAAGUCACUGUGAAAAAGCACCCAUGUGCAAGUUUUUGUAUGGACAUGAGCGUCUUAAGAGGCAGGGAGGUGGUUUACUAUCUGGUCCUUGCUGGAAGCUUCCCUUGUAGCUCAGUUGGUAAAGAAUCUGCCUGCCAAUGCAGGAGACCAGUGUUUGAUCCCUGGGUUGGGAAGAUUCCCUGGAGAAGGAAAUGGCAACCCACUCCCGUAUUCUUGCCUGGAGAAUCCCAUGGACAGAGAAGCCUGGCAGGCUACAUUCCAUGGAGUCACAACAGUCGGACAUGGCUUAGUGACUAAACCACCUUGCUGGAAGGUCUCAGGGUCGGGCUGCGUGGAGAAGCUUCCCUGGGGGACCUGGAAACACCUGGUUUCUCACUGGCUUAGCUCCAGGGGGAACCCAUGUCCGUGUGUCUGGGAAAGAGGGCAGGCGAAGGAAGCCACUGAUGGAGAGGGAAAGGAAAGGCAAACGGGAAGAAAAAGAGAGGAAAAGGCUGUGUGGAUUAAACCAGAAUCCAGAUUUUUCUGAUCCUGUUGCCAAACGGUAACAUAGGACACGGAUGUCGAGUCGUUGAGGCAGGUUUGUGUGUCUCUGAGAGGGUAGAGAGUAGACCAUCCGUAUUUGAUGAACAUUCUGCCUUUAUUAUGAAAAGUGAAGCCUGGGGGUUCAGAGGGGGUUAAGAGAUUAAGGACUUGGAUACAAUCCUGGAAUUUCAUUCUUUAUAACUUUUGCACUUUUAAUGAAAAAUUUCAAACAUCUCUUCAAAGAGAUAUGCAGAGUAUAA